AGAGUUUGAUCCUGGCUCAGGAUGAACGCUAGCGGCAGGCUUAAUACAUGCAAGUCGAGGGGCAGCAUGGUGUAGCAAUACACUGAUGGCGACCGGCAAACGGGUGCGGAACACGUACAGAACCUUCCUUCGAGCGGGGAAUAGCCCAGAGAAAUUUGGAUUAAUACCCCAUAGUACAACGGAGUGGCAUCGCUUUGUUGUUAAAGAUUUAUCACUUGAAGAUGGCUGUGCGGCUGAUUAGGUAGUUGGCGGGGUAACGGCCCACCAAGCCUGCGAUCAGUAACUGGUGUGAGAGCACGACCAGUCACACGGGCACUGAGACACGGGCCCGACUCCUACGGGAGGCAGCAGUAAGGAAUAUUGGUCAAUGGACGAAAGUCUGAACCAGCCAUGCCGCGUGGAGGAUGAAGGUCCUCUGGAUUGUAAACUUCUUUUAUAUGGGACGAAAAAAGGCCUUUCUAGGUCGUCUGACGGUACCAUAUGAAUAAGCACCGGCUAACUCCGUGCCAGCAGCCGCGGUAAUACGGAGGGUGCAAGCGUUAUCCGGAUUCACUGGGUUUAAAGGGUGCGUAGGUGGGUUGGUAAGUCAGUGGUGAAAUCCCCGAGCUUAACUUGGGAACUGCCAUUGAUACUAUCAGUCUUGAAUACCGUGGAGGUCAGCGGAAUAUGUCAUGUAGCGGUGAAAUGCUUAGAUAUGACAUAGAACACCAAUUGCGAAGGCAGCUGGCUACCCGAAUAUUGACACUGAGGCACGAAAGCGUGGGGAUCAAACAGGAUUAGAUACCCUGGUAGUCCACGCCCUAAACUAUGGAUACUCGACAUUUGCGAUAAACUGUAAGUGUCUGAGCGAAAGCAUUAAGUAUCCCACCUGGGAAGUACGACCGCAAGGUUGAAACUCAAA
Molecule: ribosomal RNA, 901 nt
Filed under: uncultured bacterium
Lineage: Bacteria
Description: bacterial SSU rRNA
Rfam family: Bacterial small subunit ribosomal RNA
Source: RNAcentral